This 253-nucleotide ribosomal RNA is filed under the name uncultured bacterium. RNAcentral describes it as "partial 16S ribosomal RNA". It matches the Rfam family "Bacterial small subunit ribosomal RNA", at positions 524 to 776 of the family's 1533-position model. The record is from RNAcentral.
UACGUAGGUGACAAGCGUUGUCCGGAUUUACUGGGCGUAAAGAGCGCGCAGGCGGUCGGUCAAGUCGAGUGUGAAAGCCCCCGGCUCAACUGGGGAGGGUCAUUCGAUACUGAUCGACUCGAAGGCAGGAGAGGGUAGUGGAAUUCCCGGUGUAGUGGUGAAAUGCGUAGAUAUCGGGAGGAACACCAGUGGCGAAGGCGACUACCUGGCCUGUUCUUGACGCUGAGGCGCGAAAGCUAGGGGAGCAAACGGG